UCAGAGGCGACGAAAGACGUGAUAAGCUGCGAUAAGUAUCGGGGAGGUGCAAACAACCUUUGAUCCGAUAAUUUCUGAAUGGGGCAACCCAGCCAAUUUAUUGGUUAUCCAACAAUGUUGGAGGCAAACCCGGAGAACUGAAACAUCUAAGUACCCGGAGGAAGAGAAAACAAAAGUGAUUCCGUUAGUAGUGGCGAUCGAACGCGGAUUAGCCCAAACCAAUAACGUUUCGGCGUUGUUGGGGUUGUAGGACUGCAACAUGAGAUUAUGAGAGAAGUAGAACUACCUGGAAAGGUAGACCAAAGAUGGUGAUAGUCCAGUAUACGUAAUCAAGUAUGAUCUAGCAGUAUCCUGAGUAGGGCGGGGCACGUGAAACCCUGUCUGAAUCUGCCAGGACCAUCUGGUAAGGCUAAAUACUCCUAAGAGACCGAUAGAGAACCAGUACCGUGAGGGAAAGGUGAAAAGUACCCCGAACAGGGGAGUGAAAAAGUACCUGAAACCAUACGCUUACAAGCGGUCGGAGCAUGUUUACAUGUGACGGCGUGCCUUUUGCAUAAUGAGCCUACGAGUUACUCCUCACUGGCAAGGUUAAGAGUUUAAGACUCGGAGCCGAAGCGAAAGCGAGUCUGAAUAGGGCGCUUAAGUCAGUGGGGGUAGACGCGAAACCGUGUGAUCUACCCAUGGGCAGGUUGAAGUCUUGGUAACACAAGAUGGAGGACCGAACCAGGGAGCGUUGAAAAGCUCUUGGAUGACCUGUGGGUAGGGGUGAAAGGCCAAUCAAACUCGGAAAUAGCUCGUACUCCCCGAAAUGCAUUUAGGUGCAGCCUUGGAGUAUAGUAUUGCAGAGGUAGAGCUACUGAUUGGAUGCGAGGGCUUCACCGCCUAUCAACUCCAGACAAACUCCGAAUGCUGCAAUAUGUUAACCAGGAGUGAGGGCAUGGGUGCUAAGGUCCAUGUCCGAAAGGGAAAGAACCCGGACCAUCAGCUAAGGUCCCCAAGUGUAUGUUAAGUUGAACAAACGAGGUCUGAUUGCAUAGACAGCUAGGAUGUUGGCUUGGAAGCAGCCAUUCAUUUAAAGAGUGCGUAACAGCUCACUAGUCGAGCGAUCGGGCAUGGAUAAUAAUCGGGCAUCAAACAUACCACCGAAGCUAUGGAUUUAGUAUGUAAAUACUGAGUGGUAGGGGAGCAUUCUAAUUGCGUUGAAUGUGUACUGUGAGGUAUGCUGGAGCGAUUAGAAAAGCAAAUGUAGGCAUAAGUAACGAUAAGGGGGGCGAGAAACCCCCCCGCCGAUAGACUAAGGUUUCCUGAUCAACGCUAAUCGGAUCAGGGUUAGUCGGGACCUAAGGGGUAGCCGAACGGCGAACUCGAUGGACAACGGGUUAAUAUUCCCGUACUCUGUAUAAUUGUGAUGGGGCGACGGAGUGAUGAAAGCACCGCGUACUGACGGAAUAGUACGUUGAAGGGCGUAGGUUAUGAGAUGUGUAGGCAAAUCCGCACGUUGAGCUGAAACCUGAUAGUACCAAGCGCCUUCGGGCAAUUGGAUAGUGUGCCUAAGGGCUUCCAAGAAAAACCUCUAAACGUAGAUUAUACAGACCCGUACCUCAAACCGACACAGGUAGUCAAGGAGAGAAUCCUAAGGCGCUCGAGUGAUUCAUGGCUAAGGAACUAGGCAAAAUCGAUCCGUAACUUCGGGAGAAGGAUCGCUCCUCGCAAGGGGAGCCGCAGUGAAAAGGCCCAGGCGACUGUUUAUCAAAAACACAUGGCUUUGCAAAAACGAAAGUUGAAGUAUAAGGCCUGACACCUGCCCGGUGCCGGAAGGUUAAGAGGAGAUGUUAGCUUCGGCGAAGCAUUGAAUUGAAGCCCUGGUAAACGGCGGCCGUAACUAUAACGGUCCUAAGGUAGCGAAAUUCCUUGUCGGGUAAGUUCCGACCUGCACGAAUGGUGUAACGAUCUGGGUGCUGUCUCAGCUGUAGACUCGGUGAAAUUAAA
RNAcentral lists this ribosomal RNA (1989 nucleotides) under Phoronis australis. RNAcentral describes it as "bacterial LSU rRNA". It matches the Rfam family "Bacterial large subunit ribosomal RNA", at positions 40 to 2046 of the family's 2925-position model. The record is from RNAcentral. Lineage: Eukaryota; Metazoa; Phoronida; Phoronidae.